RNAcentral lists this ribosomal RNA (203 nucleotides) under uncultured bacterium. RNAcentral describes it as "partial 16S ribosomal RNA". It matches the Rfam family "Bacterial small subunit ribosomal RNA", at positions 1298 to 1500 of the family's 1533-position model. The record is from RNAcentral.
AUGUAGUCUGCAACCCGACUACAUGAAGCUGGAAUCGCUAGUAAUCGCGGAUCAGAAUGCCGCGGUGAAUACGUUCCCGGGUCUUGUACACACCGCCCGUCACACCAUGGGAGUCGGAAAUGCCCGAAGUCUGUGACCCAACCGUAAGGAGGGAGCAGCCGAAGGCAGGUCGGAUGACUGGGGUGAAGUCGUAACAAGGUAGC